This 521-nucleotide ribosomal RNA is filed under the name uncultured bacterium. RNAcentral describes it as "bacterial SSU rRNA". It matches the Rfam family "Bacterial small subunit ribosomal RNA", at positions 988 to 1509 of the family's 1533-position model. The record is from RNAcentral.
CCAGCGAAUUCGGUAGAGAUACCUUAGUGCCUUCGGGAACGCUGAGACAGGUGCUGCAUGGCUGUCGUCAGCUCGUGUUGUGAAAUGUUGGGUUAAGUCCCGCAACGAGCGCAACCCUUAUCCUUUGUUGCCAGCGGUCCGGCCGGGAACUCAAAGGAGACUGCCAGUGAUAAACUGGAGGAAGGUGGGGAUGACGUCAAGUCAUCAUGGCCCUUACGAGUAGGGCUACACACGUGCUACAAUGGCGCAUACAAAGAGAAGCGACCUCGCGAGAGCAAGCGGACCUCAUAAAGUGCGUCGUAGUCCGGAUUGGAGUCUGCAACUCGACUCCAUGAAGUCGGAAUCGCUAGUAAUCGUAGAUCAGAAUGCUACGGUGAAUACGUUCCCGGGCCUUGUACACACCGCCCGUCACACCAUGGGAGUGGGUUGCAAAAGAAGUAGGCAGCUUAACCUUCGGGAGGGCGCUUACCACUUUGUGAUUCAUGACUGGGGUGAAGUCGUAACAAGGUAAGCGUAGCGAG